ACGCUCGACACCCACGGGAGGCAGCAGUGGGGAAUAUUGCACAAUGGGGGAAACCCUGAUGCAGCGACGCCGCGUGAAGGAAGAAGUAUCUCGGUAUGUAAACUUCUAUCAGCAGGGAAGAAAGUGACGGUACCUGACUAAGAAGCCCCGGCUAAUUACGUGCCAACAGCCGCGGUAAUCUGAGCGGGCUGGCAAGGC
RNAcentral lists this ribosomal RNA (198 nucleotides) under uncultured bacterium. RNAcentral's name for it is "partial 16S ribosomal RNA". It matches the Rfam family "Bacterial small subunit ribosomal RNA", at positions 328 to 539 of the family's 1533-position model. The record is from RNAcentral.